GUUGGGGCUGGGUGGGCUGUCCCCAGCUGGCAGCUGCCUCCAAGACAGGGUGGGCGACUGAUCCUGGAGCCUGAAAGGGAGAAUCAUAAGGCCAGCAGGACCAUCUCAUCCAGUCCCCUGGCUCCAGGAAGGGAUGACAUUUCCCCAGCCAGAACACCAAGGGGGCCAGAAUUCAUGUUGAAUGAAACAGAUGCUCUCUGUCC
This is a long non-coding RNA of Mustela erminea (ermine), 203 nucleotides long. RefSeq lists it as uncharacterized. NCBI's taxonomy places the organism in Eukaryota, Metazoa, Chordata, Mammalia, Carnivora, Mustelidae. The transcript has 2 exons. The record is from RefSeq and is a predicted model, not a curated record.